UACGUAGGGGGCAAGCGUUGUCCGGAAUUAUUGGGCGUAAAGCGCGCGCAGGCGGUUCCUUAAGUCUGAUGUGAAAGCCCACGGCUCAACCGUGGAGGGUCAUUGGAAACUGGGGAACUUGAGUGCAGAAGAGGAGAGUGGAAUUCCACGUGUAGCGGUGAAAUGCGUAGAUAUGUGGAGGAACACCAGUGGCGAAAGCGGCUCUCUGGUCUGUAACUGACGCUGAGACGCGAAAGCGUGGGGAGCAAACAGG
RNAcentral lists this ribosomal RNA (253 nucleotides) under uncultured Pullulanibacillus sp. RNAcentral describes it as "partial 16S ribosomal RNA". It matches the Rfam family "Bacterial small subunit ribosomal RNA", at positions 524 to 776 of the family's 1533-position model. Lineage: Bacteria; Bacillati; Bacillota; Bacilli; Caryophanales; Sporolactobacillaceae. The record is from RNAcentral.